ACGGGUGAGUAACACGUGGGUGAUCUGCCCUGCACUUUGGGAUAAGCCUGGGAAACUGGGUCUAAUACCGAAUAUGACCACGCUCUUCAUGGGGUGUGGUGGAAAGCUUUUGCGGUGUGGGAUGGGCCCGCGGCCUAUCAGCUUGUUGGUGGGGUAAUGGCCUACCAAGGCGACGACGGGUAGCCGGCCUGAGAGGGUGACCGGCCACACUGGGACUGAGAUACGGCCCAGACUCCUACGGGAGGCAGCAGUGGGGAAUAUUGCACAAUGGGCGCAAGCCUGAUGCAGCGACGCCCCGUGAGGGAUGACGGCCUUCGGGUUGUAAACCUCUUUCACCAGGGACGAAGCGCAAGUGACGGUACCUGGAGAAGAAGCACCGGCCAACUACUUGCCAGCAGCCGCGGUAAUACGUAGGGUGCGAGCGUUGUCCGGAAUUACUGGGCGUAAAGAGCUCGUAGGUGGUUUGUCGCGUUGUUCGUGAAAACUCACAGCUUAACUGUGGGCGUGCGGGCGAUACGGGCAGACUAGAGUACUGCAGGGGAGACUGGAAUUCCUGGUGUAGCGGUGGAAUGCGCAGA
RNAcentral lists this ribosomal RNA (578 nucleotides) under Mycobacterium sp. StTD676. Its description in RNAcentral is "bacterial SSU rRNA". It matches the Rfam family "Bacterial small subunit ribosomal RNA", at positions 102 to 694 of the family's 1533-position model. The record is from RNAcentral. Lineage: Bacteria; Bacillati; Actinomycetota; Actinomycetes; Mycobacteriales; Mycobacteriaceae. RNAcentral also lists the same sequence under 1 other name.